This 425-nucleotide ribosomal RNA is filed under the name uncultured bacterium. Its description in RNAcentral is "partial 16S ribosomal RNA". It matches the Rfam family "Bacterial small subunit ribosomal RNA", at positions 354 to 796 of the family's 1533-position model. The record is from RNAcentral.
GUAAGGAAUCUUAGACAAUGGGGGCAACCCUGAUCUAGCCAUGCCGCGUGAUCGAUGAAGGCCUUAGGGUUGUAAAGAUCUUUCAGCUGGGAAGAUAAUGACGGUACCAGCAGAAGAAGCCCCGGCUAACUCCGUGCCAGCAGCCGCGGUAAUACGGAGGGGGCUAGCGUUGUUCGGAAUUACUGGGCGUAAAGCGCACGUAGGCGGAUUGGAAAGUUGGGGGUGAAAUCCCGGGGCUCAACCCCGGAACUGCCUUCAAAACUCCCAGUCUUGAGGUCGAGAGAGGUGAGUUGAAUUCUGAGUGUAGAGGUGAAAUUCGUAGAUAUUCGGAGGAACACCAGUAGCGAAGGCGGCUCACUGGCUCGAUACUGACGCUGAGGUGCGAAAGCGUGGGGAGCAAACAGGAUUAGAAACCCUGGUAGUCC